UUGAAAGGGAAACGAUUGAAGUCAGUCGUACCGACGAGGAUCAACCUUUGAAAGCGGGUCGAGGUAUUCGAGGAGUUUAAAAGCCCUCUUGCGCUCACGUACUUCGUUUUCUUUGGUGCACUUCUUCGUAUGGUAGGUUAACAUCAAUUUUGGACGUUACAAAAUGAUCGGGGGAAUGUAGCUUCGAUUUUUUCGAAGUGUUAUAGACCUUGGUAGAUGUGACGACCGGGAUUGAGGAUUGCAACGAAUGCUUUCGGGCUAUCCGUCUGACCUCUGGUGGUUGCUUUAGGGUCGAAAGCGUGCUUACGACUUUAAAGUUGGCUAUCAAAAGGCUAGAACGUGAUUAAAUUCGUUAAGGAUGUUGACGUA
This 369-nucleotide ribosomal RNA is filed under the name uncultured Glomeromycotina. Its description in RNAcentral is "LSU rRNA". Lineage: Eukaryota; Fungi; Glomeromycota. The record is from RNAcentral.